This 899-nucleotide ribosomal RNA is filed under the name uncultured bacterium. Its description in RNAcentral is "bacterial SSU rRNA". It matches the Rfam family "Bacterial small subunit ribosomal RNA", at positions 8 to 897 of the family's 1533-position model. The record is from RNAcentral.
AGAGUUUGAUCCUGGCUCAGGAUGAACGCUAGCUACAGGCUUAACACAUGCAAGUCGAGGGGAAACGAUAGAGAAAGCUUGCUUUUUCUAGGCGUCGACCGGCGCACGGGUGAGUAACGCGUAUCCAACCUGCCCAUCACUUGGGGAUAACCUUGCGAAAGUAAGACUAAUACCCAAUGACGUCUCUAGAAGACAUCUGAAAGAGAUUAAAGAUUUAUCGGUGAUGGAUGGGGAUGCGUCUGAUUAGCUUGUUGGCGGGGUAACGGCCCACCAAGGCUACGAUCAGUAGGGGUUCUGAGAGGAAGGUCCCCCACAUUGGAACUGAGACACGGUCCAAACUCCUACGGGAGGCAGCAGUGAGGAAUAUUGGUCAAUGGGCGAGAGCCUGAACCAGCCAAGUAGCGUGCAGGAUGACGGCCCUAUGGGUUGUAAACUGCUUUUAUAAGGGAAUAAAGUGAGCCUCGUGAGGCUUUUUGCAUGUACCUUAUGAAUAAGGACCGGCUAAUUCCGUGCCAGCAGCCGCGGUAAUACGGAAGGUCCGGGCGUUAUCCGGAUUUAUUGGGUUUAAAGGGAGCGUAGGCCGGAGAUUAAGCGUGUUGUGAAAUGUAGAUGCUCAACAUCUGCACUGCAGCGCGAACUGGUUUCCUUGAGUACGCACAAAGUGGGCGGAAUUCGUGGUGUAGCGGUGAAAUGCUUAGAUAUCACGAAGAACUCCGAUUGCGAAGGCAGCUCACUGGAGCGCAACUGACGCUGAAGCUCGAAAGUGCGGGUAUCGAACAGGAUUAGAUACCCUGGUAGUCCGCACGGUAAACGAUGGAUGCCCGCUGUUGGUCUGAAUAGGUCAGCGGCCAAGCGAAAGCAUUAAGCAUCCCACCUGGGGAGUACGCCGACAACGGUGA